UACGUAGGGGGCGAGCGUUGUCCGGAAUGACUGGGCGUAAAGGGCGCGUAGGUGGCCUUUCAAGUCUGGAGUGAAAGUCCUGCUUUUAAGGUGGGAAUGGCUUUGGAAACUGAGAGGCUUGAGUGCGGGAGAGGAUAGCGGAAUUCCCGGUGUAGCGGUGAAAUGCGUAGAGAUCGGGAGGAACACCAGUGGCGAAGGCGGCUAUCUGGACCAAGACUGACACUGAGGCGCGAAAGCGUGGGUAGCAAACAGGAUUAGAUACCCUGGUAGUCCACGCUGUAAACGAUGGAUGCUAGGUGUAGGAGGUAUCGACCCCUUCUGUGCCGGAGUAAACGCAAUAAGCAUCCCGCCUGGGGAGUACGGCCGCAAGGUUGAA
Molecule: ribosomal RNA, 376 nt
Filed under: uncultured bacterium
Lineage: Bacteria
Description: bacterial SSU rRNA
Rfam family: Bacterial small subunit ribosomal RNA
Source: RNAcentral